Molecule: ribosomal RNA, 501 nt
Filed under: uncultured bacterium
Lineage: Bacteria
Description: partial 16S ribosomal RNA
Rfam family: Bacterial small subunit ribosomal RNA
Source: RNAcentral
AUUGAACGCUGGCGGCAUGCCUUACACAUGCAAGUCGAACGGCAGCACGGGUGCUUGCACCUGGUGGCGAGUGGCGAACGGGUGAGUAAUACAUCGGAACGUACCUUAUCGUGGGGGAUAACGCAGCGAAAGCUGUGCUAAUACCGCAUACGCCCUGAGGGGGAAAGCGGGGGAUCGCAAGACCUCGCGCGAUUAGAGCGGCCGAUGCCUGAUUAGCUUGUUGGUGGGGUAAAAGCCCACUAAGGCGACGAUCAGUAGCUGGUCUGAGAGGACGAUCAGCCACACUGGGCCUGAGACACGGCCCAGACUCCUACGGGAGGCAGCAGUGGGGAAUUUUGGACAAUGGGGGCAACCCUGAUCCAGCAAUGCCGCGUGAGUGAAGAAGGCCUUCGGGUUGUAAAGCUCUUUUGUCAGGGAAGAAACACCGGCUCUAACACAGUCCGGGAAUGACGGUACCUGAGGAAUAAGCACCGGCUAACUACGUGCCAGCAGCCGCCGUAA